Molecule: RNA transcript, 3283 nt
Organism: Rhododendron vialii
Lineage: Eukaryota; Viridiplantae; Streptophyta; Magnoliopsida; Ericales; Ericaceae
Gene name: UDP-D-apiose/UDP-D-xylose synthase-like
Exons: 3
Source: RefSeq, a predicted model, not a curated record
ACACACACACACACAGAAACACACACGAAGAGAAGAGAGCAAAGGAAUGGCGUGAUUCAAAGCUACUGCCUUCACCAAUCGAGCACUAGCGGUAUCACCGUCCGGCCUCGAUCCCGUCAUCUCCUAGCCCUAGCGCUUGUUUGACCUCGACCAGAACUCGGUAAGUCUAAUAAUUGCACUCUCAACGUUUAUUCUUGAUUUACUUUAGAGUUUUGAUUCAGGAAUCUAUUUUAGGGUUUUCGAUUUGGGUUCUCGAUUUUGGGAUUUCAAUUUUGAGGGUUUGGCAAAAUUUUCUUUGGUGUUUGGAGGCAAUCACUUGAUGAGGCUGCAGAACCAAGUUUUCUAGAUCUAUUUUCUUCUCUGCCAUUUGACGGUUCUUGAUUCUUCCGUUUGAAUUGAUGAUUUCUAGCAGGUGCUGGUUUUCAGCCAUGGCCUCCGGUCAUGAUUUCCGGCAGCAGAGAGUUGUCUGUACGUAUGCUUUUUGUUAAUCUUCAAUACUUGAGUUUAAGAUUACUUGCUUGAUUGUGAUGUCCUUUUUACUACUAAGAUAUUUGAGCAUUCAAUAUCAAUUGCUAAUUUUGUGGUAAUUACAAAAAAAAGAAAAAGAAAGGCUAAUGUUGUGUUAAACCCUAAAUCAUUGGACUGUUCUCCCUAUUCUUUUUCAGCAGAGGUCUUUUUGAAUAUAUAUGCUCAACGAUAAAUUCUGAAAAUUUGUAACUGUAAGUAUAUUGUCACAAAACUAGAUUAAAUUGAACCUCAUAGCUAAUACUCAUUUAUUUUAAUUGAAUCAUAUGUGUUGUUGAGUAGAAAAGUUGUUAUUAAAAGCAAAAUUCUCAAUUACAUGCUUGUUUGUACUAGUGGUAGCCAAGAGCAACUCUGUAUAUUGUGAUUUCAUAGUUGUUUAGUUUUUUUCCCUUCAAGUUGCAGUUUUUGUGAAAUUUGAUUAUGCAAUGGGUAAAUGUGUAUGUGCUGAUUUGCUUAUAGCGAUAGCUAUCAUAUUUGUUGAUAUCUAAUUGCUCCAUAAAAAAUAGCUUUCUUCUACUUCUAUGUUCUUGGUUUCAAAGCUUGGUUAGGAGCUAUGUAGAAUUGAGCACUGAACUUGUCACAUGUCACAAUACAUAUUGCCCUCUCCAACAAAGAUUUGGGAGAAGGAAUAAUUUAUAGUUGAUUUGGGAAAAAGGAGUAAGUUUUUGGACAUAUCUCUCAAACCAUUGCAAAUGGUGAAAAAAUGGCCUCAUCAGGUACGGUAAUGUCUACAAAUUAUAUUGUAGGUCAAAAUUCUAGAUGUUUCACUUUGUGCAGUCCUUGGUAGAUCUUAACAGUAACUCUUUAUUUUCACUAUUGUGGAUUUGUGAUAGUGGUUAUUAACCUAUCGAUCUUUGUCUUGUGUAUGUGCUUAGCUUUUAGCAUUCUUAGUAUGAGUUAAUUUGUCAACUGAAAUAAAACUAUUACGGAAACUAAGAGUUUGAGAGACACCUAUUGUUGGAGAGCAUAUAUAAGUGUUAGAAAUUAUUUCUGCUUUUUGGUUCAGAGAUUUAACAUUCAAUCCCCUUUGGAAGUUUGGGUAUAAAGUACUGUACAAAGUUCUACCUUGUGCUACAAUUUAAUUUUGAGAUUUGCCAUGCUUCUUUGAUUUGUCCUGCUUCUUCUUUGGUUUGUCCUACUUCUUUGAUUUGGGUAGAAAUGGAAGAUUGUAAAACAAACAUGCUUGUACUAGUAGGACCCAAAAGUACCCAAGCCUGUUUUAACCUAGUUAUUUUGUUUUGCCCUUCAUCUUGUAGGUUUUUCCUAAAUCUUUGGAGACCAAUUUGGGCAACCACAUGGAUAGCAUGCACAACCACAUGGAUUGCAUGAACAAUAUAUUAGGAUGUAGAACAAACAUGCUUGUUCAGUUUUCCUUUCAUUCUCUUUCUACAAGAAGAAAGUAGUAUUUUCAAUGUGCGAGAUUAGGGUGUGGUGAGAGCCAUUUGUAUGGAACUGAAGGUCCACUAUAUUACUUGAAGAAUGGAACUACUGUUCGUUGGAGUCCUGCCCGUUGCGAGGAAGAAGUAUGCUCUACACUUGUUUCUUGUUGUCUCUCCUAUCUAUAUUUGGCUGGUAUUUAUGUCUUUGCAGCCUCACAAAGAGCAAAGACUAUAAAUCUUGCGGCUAUCUGUACUCCGGCAGAUUACAAUACGAGGCCUCUUGACACAAUUUACAGCAACUUCAUCGAUGCUCUACCCGUGGUACGCGCCUUUGAUUUUCUUGAUGUUUUAUUCCGGAGCAUUAAUGAAAUGCGCGUGGCUUUAAUGGUGAAUUGUUGUGAUUCUUGACAGGUUUGUGGAGUUUUUUGAUUUUGUUGUUGGCAUUAGUUGAAGCUGAAUGUGCAUUUUGAUGUGAAUUGGAUGUUAUGUUAUGUGAGGUGAAGUACUGUUCGGAAAACAACAAGUGUCUCAUUCACUUGUCUACUUGUGAAGUGUAUGGGAAAACAAUUGGUAGCUUCCUUCCUACAGAUCACCCUAUGCGGCAGGUGAGGCUUCAUUUUGUGCUUUGUUUAUGCAAGGACCAGAACUUAGUUUUAUUUAAUACUCCAGGGACAUUGUGGUGCCCUUUUUGUGUUUUUAUUUUUAAUUAUGAGGUUGCUUGGUAGUUGGAUCAUGAACUUAUUAACAUUUCACCUGGAGUUUGAAAGUCUCGUUGUUUUUCCUUGUGCAGUUUAUGUACAAUGGGGUUUUAAGAAAAGUGUGAAACUUGGACAUGGUUGGGCGAAUACUUGAUGAUUUGAAUUAUUUAGUACCAAUUCACUGGUCUAACGACUUUGACCCUGCUUAUAAUGAAGUAAUGUUCACGGCGAUAAGUUAUAACCAUUGACUUGAUUAGUGCAUGUUAUGAUCUUAUAUGGGAGCCAUCUGAUGGCAGUCCGAAGUUUGUUCGUUCAUGUUAAUUUGGCAUGAUGAUGAUAUUAUGCAUCAGGGGAAAUAUUCAAGUGCAGUUGCAUGGAUUACCAUUGGAGCUAAUUAGUUAUUUAUCUAUCAGAUGAUCCCAUUGACCAAACAAAAGAUUAUGAGUGUGCGCAAAAAAAAGGAAGGGAAAAUAUUCUGGUAGUGAUCACUUAGUCCAGGGACUUGAAUUCUGGAUAUAUGAAUAUGACCAAGGAUUAUUUGAUGCUGAUGCUAGUUCUGUUUUAUGCCAUUCUGAUUCUGAAAUGGAAACAAAGUCGCUUAUUGACUAAAAGAGAGAAGCUGUCUCAUAGUACAAGGUCCAGGGAGAGUUAUGUGCUGUAGAACAAAGUUGAACCUAGGAC